This 468-nucleotide ribosomal RNA is filed under the name uncultured bacterium. RNAcentral describes it as "partial 16S ribosomal RNA". It matches the Rfam family "Bacterial small subunit ribosomal RNA", at positions 28 to 507 of the family's 1533-position model. The record is from RNAcentral.
GACGAACGCUGGCGGCGUGCUUAACACAUGCAAGUCGAACGGAAAGGCCCUGCUUUUGUGGGGUGCUCGAGUGGCGAACGGGUGAGUAACACGUGAGUAACCUGCCCUUGACUUUGGGAUAACUUCAGGAAACUGGGGCUAAUACCGGAUAGGAACUCCUGCUGCAUGUCGGGGGUUGUAAAGUUUCGGCGGUUGGGGAUGGACUCGCGGCUUAUCAGCUUGUUGGUGGGGUAGUGGCUUACCAAGGCUUUGACGGGUAGCCGGCCUGAGAGGGUGACCGGCCACAUUGGGACUGAGAUACGGCCCAGACUCCUACGGGAGGCAGCAGUGGGGAAUAUUGCACAAUGGGCGGAAGCCUGAUGCAGCAACGCCGCGUGCGGGAUGACGGCCUUCGGGUUGUAAACCGCGUUCGCCUGUGACGAAGCGUGAGUGACGGUAAUGGGUAAAGAAGCACCGGCUAACUACGUG